RNAcentral lists this ribosomal RNA (73 nucleotides) under Antennarius striatus (striated frogfish). Its description in RNAcentral is "partial 28S ribosomal RNA". Lineage: Eukaryota; Metazoa; Chordata; Actinopteri; Lophiiformes; Antennariidae. The record is from RNAcentral.
CCGUCUCGCCCGCUCUGUCGGGGAGGUGGAGCGUGAGCGCGCGCGAUAGGACCCGAAAGAUGGUGAACUAUGC